RNAcentral lists this ribosomal RNA (467 nucleotides) under uncultured bacterium. Its description in RNAcentral is "bacterial SSU rRNA". It matches the Rfam family "Bacterial small subunit ribosomal RNA", at positions 355 to 825 of the family's 1533-position model. The record is from RNAcentral.
UAGGGAAUAUUGGACAAUGGGUGAGAGCCUGAUCCAGCCAUGCCGCGUGCAGGAAGAAGGCGUUAUGCGUUGUAAACUGCUUUUGCCAGGGGAUAAAAGACCGUGCGCGGUUAAUUGAAGGUACCUGGUGAAUAAGCCACGGCUAACUACGUGCCAGCAGCCGCGGUAAUACGUAGGUGGCAAGCGUUGUCCGGAUUUAUUGGGUUUAAAGGGUGCGUAGGCGGCAAUUCAAGUCAUCUGUGAAAUCUCCGGGCUUAACUCGGAACGGUCAGAUGAUACUGCUUUGCUAGAGUCCGGAAGAGGUGAGUGGAAUUCCUAGUGUAGAGGUGAAAUUCGUAGAUAUUAGGAAGAACACCAGUGGCGAAAGGCGGCGUCACUGGUCCGGUACUGACGCUGAGGUGCGAAAGCGUGGGGAGCAAACAGGAUUAGAUACCCCUGUAGUCCCUGAGCGGGCUGGCAAGGCGCAU